RNAcentral lists this unclassified non-coding RNA (399 nucleotides) under Hevea brasiliensis (rubber tree). Lineage: Eukaryota; Viridiplantae; Streptophyta; Magnoliopsida; Malpighiales; Euphorbiaceae. The record is from RNAcentral.
CCUUGAUAUUUUUCUCCAUUUUCCAUGCCGCUCAAGUUAUUACCACAGCUUCGUUUCUUCAAUCCAACAUUCCCACUUACCCAUUUUCCCACCAUGAAAUGCAAUUCAACUUUGAAGCCUAAAACAAUACCAGCUUUUUCUAGAAUGUUUCCACACAAGCUAAAGUAUAGGUCAAUUGCGUUUCCAAUUUUAGCAGCUCAAGAACAAGAGCUUCGUAGGUUCUCGAGCCGUUCAGGGAGACCAAGACCCGGGUCGGGUGCUGACGUGCGAGUUUCGAAGAGCUUGAUUGAAGAUGAAGCUGAACUCAGUGAUUGGGUGAGUGGGUUGAGGUCUGAUUCUUCGUUCACGAAAACUCAGGUGUAUAGUGAGAGUGAUGAUAAUGAGGGCGACAGGGAAAGG